This is a non-coding RNA of Rattus norvegicus (Norway rat), 69 nucleotides long. NCBI's taxonomy places the organism in Eukaryota, Metazoa, Chordata, Mammalia, Rodentia, Muridae. The record is from Rfam.
GGGGAUUUAGCUCAGAGGUAGAGCACUUGCCUAGCAAGCGCAAGGCCCUGGGUUCGGUCCCCAGCUCCG